GCAAGUCGAGCGGUAGAGAGGUGCUUGCACCUCUUGAGAGCGGCGGACGGGUGAGUAAAGCCUAGGAAUCUGCCUGGUAGUGGGGGAUAACGCUCGGAAACGGACGCUAAUACCGCAUACGUCCUACGGGAGAAAGCAGGGGACCUUCGGGCCUUGCGCUAUCAGAUGAGCCUAGGUCGGAUUAGCUAGUUGGUGAGGUAAUGGCUCACCAAGGCGACGAUCCGUAACUGGUCUGAGAGGAUGAUCAGUCACACUGGAACUGAGACACGGUCCAGACUCCUACGGGAGGCAGCAGUGGGGAAUAUUGGACAAUGGGCGAAAGCCUGAUCCAGCCAUGCCGCGUGUGUGAAGAAGGUCUUCGGAUUGUAAAGCACUUUAAGUUGGGAGGAAGGGCAUUAACCUAAUACGUUAGUGUUUUGACGUUACCGACAGAAUAAGCACCGGCUAACUCUGUGCCAGCAGCCGCGGUAAUACAGAGGGUGCAAGCGUUAAUCGGAAUUACUGGGCGUAAAGCGCGCGUAGGUGGUUAGUUAAGUUGGAUGUGAAAUCCCCGGGCUCAACCUGGGAACUGCAUUCAAAACUGACUGACUAGAGUAUGGUAGAGGGUGGUGGAAUUUCCUGUGUAGCGGUGAAAU
Molecule: ribosomal RNA, 635 nt
Filed under: uncultured bacterium
Lineage: Bacteria
Description: bacterial SSU rRNA
Rfam family: Bacterial small subunit ribosomal RNA
Source: RNAcentral